RNAcentral lists this unclassified non-coding RNA (89 nucleotides) under Pseudomonas koreensis. The record is from RNAcentral. Lineage: Bacteria; Pseudomonadati; Pseudomonadota; Gammaproteobacteria; Pseudomonadales; Pseudomonadaceae.
UGUGGGAGCGGGCUUGCCCGCGAUGACGGAGUGUCAGCCAGCAUAUUUGUGUCUGAUGCACCGCAAUCGCGGGCAAGCCCGCUCCCACA